Molecule: long non-coding RNA, 254 nt
Filed under: Taeniopygia guttata (zebra finch)
Lineage: Eukaryota; Metazoa; Chordata; Aves; Passeriformes; Estrildidae
Description: lncRNA (ENSTGUG00000028405.1)
Source: RNAcentral
GAAAAGCCUGGUGCGUCCAGCUGGAGUCCAGUUUUCUCCUAAGAUCUUGAACUUCAGUGUGAGAACUUGGCUUUACUUUGGUCACUGAAAAUCAAUCCAGUUGACUUUAGAGAGGCUUUGACCCAGGAGAGAAAAGGAUAGGGUUCUUUUGCUGGCCUAAACCAGGCUCUCAGGAGACAGAGAGCAAAAAUGAGAAAAGUGAAGAGCAAGAUUUUAUGUCCCCAGGGAUGACAUAGCAAAAAUAGAAGAAGGAC